This 191-nucleotide non-coding RNA is filed under the name uncultured Dinobryon. The record is from RNAcentral. Lineage: Eukaryota; Chrysophyceae; Chromulinales.
AAAAAGAAAAGAAAGAAAGAAAGAAAGAAAGAAAAACGAAAUGCCGAAACCCAUGCCGAAAGUUCAAACUCUUCCAGUGGUUUGGUGAUUUUAAUUAUUUGUUUUAUUUAAUGCUUUCACCUUUUUUAUUCUUUUAUUUAAUAAGAAGUUGAAGUGUUGAAGGAGUUGAAGAAACUCUUAUAAGUUCUAAU